ACCUCCCACCCGUGUCUAUCGUACCUUGUUGCUUCGGCGGGCCCGCCGUUUCGACGGCCGCCGGGGAGGCCUUGCGCCCCCGGGCCCGCGCCCGCCGAAGACCCCAACAUGAACGCUGUUCUGAAAGUAUGCAGUCUGAGUUGAUUAUCGUAAUCAGUUAAAACUUUCAACAACGGAUCUCUUGGUUCCGGCAUCGAUGAAGAACGCAGCGAAAUGCGAUAAGUAAUGUGAAUUGCAGAAUUCAGUGAAUCAUCGAGUCUUUGAACGCACAUUGCGCCCCCUGGUAUUCCGGGGGGCAUGCCUGUCCGAGCGUCAUUGCUGCCCUCAAGCACGGCUUGUGUGUUGGGCCCCCGUCCCCCUCUCCCGGGGGACGGGCCCGAAAGGCAGCGGCGGCACCGCGUCCGGUCCUCGAGCGUAUGGGGCUUUGUCACCUGCUCUGUAGGCCCGGCCGGCGCCAGCCGACACCCAACUUUAUUUUUCUAAGGUUGACCUCGGAUCAGGUAGGGAUACCCGCUGAACUUAAGCAUAUCAUAAGUGGAAGAA
RNAcentral lists this ribosomal RNA (543 nucleotides) under Aspergillus fumigatus. RNAcentral's name for it is "eukaryotic LSU rRNA". The stretch from base 162 to 315 matches the Rfam family "5.8S ribosomal RNA". The record is from RNAcentral. Lineage: Eukaryota; Fungi; Ascomycota; Eurotiomycetes; Eurotiales; Aspergillaceae.